This 973-nucleotide long non-coding RNA is filed under the name Parus major (Great Tit). Its description in RNAcentral is "lncRNA (ENSPMJG00000001891.1)". Lineage: Eukaryota; Metazoa; Chordata; Aves; Passeriformes; Paridae. The record is from RNAcentral.
GCCUCAAUCCCAAAGGAAACAGGAGCAGGGAUCUCCCAAUCCCAAGGGAUUCCAGGGAUAUCCCAAAGGAUUUCAGGGAUACCCCAAUCCCAAGGAAUUCAAGGGAUAUCCCAAAGGAUUCCAGGAAUAUCCCAAGGAAUUCCAGGGAUAUCCCAAGGAAUUCCAGGGAUAUCCCAAGUGAUUCCAGGGAUCUCCCAAUCCCAAAGGAAACGGCACCAGGGGUACCCGAGGGAGAUCCUGCUCUGGAAUCAUUUCGGGAUCACGCUCCGGGGGCGUUUCCCACGCGGCGGCUCCGGAAUUCCAGGGAGGGAACACCAAGGAGCUGCUGGGAGCUGCUGGGAGCUGCUGGGAGCUGCUUUUUCCAGGGAAUUUGGGGAAGGAGAAGGCGCCAUCAGUCCGACCUCGAGAAAUCCACGGAGACAGAAAAAGAGAGAGAGAGAGAGAGAGAGGGAGAGGAAAAAGAAGCGAAUCCCGCGUGGAGAAUUUUCCAGGGAGGAUUUUCCAGGGAGGAUUUUCCCGGGAGAAUUUUCCAGGGAGGAUUUUCCCGGGAGGAUUUUCCCGGGAGGGUUUUCCCAGGAGGGUUUUCCAGGGAGGAUUUUCCAGGGAGGGUUUCCCCGGGAGGGUUUUCCAGGGAGGAUUUUCCAAGGAGAAUUUUCCCAGGAGGAUUUUCCCAGAAGGAUUUUCCCGGGAGAAUUUUCCAGGGAGGAUUUUCCAGGGAGGGUUUUCCAGGGAGGAUUUUCCCGGGAGGAUUUUCCUGGGAGGAUUUUCCCGGGAGGAUUUUCCCGGGAGAAUUUUCCUGGAAGGAUUUUCCCAGGAGGAUUUUCCAGGGACGAUUUUCCCGGGAGGAUUUUCCCGGGAGGAUUUUCCUGGGAGGAUUUUCCUGGGAGGAUUUUCCCGGGAGGAUUUUCCUGGGAGGAUUUUCCUGGGAGGAUUUUCCCGGGAGGAUUUUCCUGGGAGGAUUUUCCAGGGAGGA